CCCAGACUCCUACGGGAGGCAGCAGUGGGGAAUAUUGGGCAAUGGGCGCAAGCCUUACCCAGCAAUACCGCGUGAGUGAAGAAGGUCUUCGGAUUGUAAAGCUCUUUGAUCAGGGACGAACAGAUGACGGUACCUGAAGAACAAGCCCCGGCUAACUACGUGCCAGCAGCCGCGGUAAUACGUAGGGGGCAAGCGUUAUCCGGAUUUACUGGGUGUAAAGGGAGCGUAGGCGGUUUAGCAAGUCAGAAGUGAAAGCCCGGGGCUCAACUCCGGGACUGCUUUUGAAACUGUUGAACUAGAUUGCAGGAGAGGUAAGUGGAAUUCCUAGUGUAGCGGUGAAAUGCGUAGAUAUUAGGAGGAACACCAGUGGCGAAGGCGGCUUACUGGACUGUAAAUGACGCUGAGGCUCGAAAGCGUGGGGAGCAAACAGGAUUAGAUACCCCCGUA
RNAcentral lists this ribosomal RNA (447 nucleotides) under uncultured bacterium. RNAcentral's name for it is "bacterial SSU rRNA". It matches the Rfam family "Bacterial small subunit ribosomal RNA", at positions 330 to 792 of the family's 1533-position model. The record is from RNAcentral.